CCCCUAGUAACUGCGAGUGAAGCGGGAAAAGCUCAAAUUUAAAAUCUGGCGGUCUUUGGCCGUCCGAGUUGUAAUUUAGAGAAGCGUCUUCCGCGCCGGACCGUGCACAAGUCUCCUGGAAUGGAGCGUCAUAGAGGGUGAGAAUCCCGUCUUUGGCACGGAUGCCUGGWGCUUCUGUGAUGCGCUCUCGAAGAGUCGAGUUGUUUGGGAAUGCAGCUCAAAAUGGGUGGUGAACUCCAUCUAAAGCUAAAUAUUGRCGAGAGACCGAUAGCGAACAAGUACCGUGAGGGARAGAUGAAAAGCACUUUGGAAAGAGAGUGAAACAGUACGUGAWAUUGUUGAAAGGGAAACGCUUGAAGUCAGUCGCGUCGASCGAGACUCAGCCUUGCCUCGGCUUGGUGUACUUCUCGGCCCGACGGGUCAGCGUCAAUUUUGCUCCUCRGAUAAUGGCAAGGGAAAGGUGGCACCUUUAUGGGUGUGUUAUAGUCUCCUGUCGCAUGCGAGGGGUGGGAUUGAGGAACUCAGCGCGCACCUUGGUGUCGGGGCUUCGGCCCACGUCACGCGCUUAGGAUGCUGGCGUAAUGGCUUUAAACGACCCGUCUUGAAACACGGACCAAGGAGUCCAACACGCCCGCGAGUGUUCGGGUGGAAAACCCGUGCGCGUAAUGAAAGUGAAAGUUGGGACCUCUGUCGUGGAGRGCACCGACGCCCGGACCAGACCUUUUGUGACGGAUCUGCGGUAGAGCAUGURUGUUGGGACCCGAAAGAUGGUGAACUAUGCCUGAAUAGGGUGAAGCCAGAGGAAACUCUGGUGGAGGCUCGUAGCGAUUCUGACGUGCAAAUCGAUCGUCAAAUUUGGGUAUAGGGGCGAAAG
This 874-nucleotide ribosomal RNA is filed under the name Lactarius crassus. RNAcentral describes it as "LSU rRNA". It matches the Rfam family "Eukaryotic large subunit ribosomal RNA", at positions 77 to 929 of the family's 3401-position model. Lineage: Eukaryota; Fungi; Basidiomycota; Agaricomycetes; Russulales; Russulaceae. The record is from RNAcentral.